UACGUAGGGUGCGAGCGUUGUCCGGAAUUAUUGGGCGUAAAGAGCUCGUAGGCGGCCUGUCGCGUCGGAUGUGAAAGCCCGGGGCUUAACCCCGGGUCUGCAUUCGAUACGGGCAGGCUAGAGUGUGGUAGGGGAGAUCGGAAUUCCUGGUGUAGCGGUGAAAUGCGCAGAUAUCAGGAAGAACACCAACGGCGAAGGCAGCUCGCUAGGACGGUACUGACGCUGAGACGCGAAAGCGUGGGGAGCGAACAGG
RNAcentral lists this ribosomal RNA (253 nucleotides) under uncultured bacterium. RNAcentral describes it as "partial 16S ribosomal RNA". It matches the Rfam family "Bacterial small subunit ribosomal RNA", at positions 524 to 776 of the family's 1533-position model. The record is from RNAcentral.